UUUUCCUAUUUGUGCAUUUAUUUUCUCUGAUAAAACUUUUUUUCUUCAUUACAGAGGAAACGAAAGCGGGCAGAUAAUCCCACCCCUGAAUCUGCCAUGGAACCACCAGAAAUCCCUGGCAAAAACACCUGCCAAGAGGAGAUCCCAGAGCCGGAAAUGGAGCCGGCGAUAAACAACUGCCGGGUAAGCAAAAGAGAGGGGAGAGUAGGGGCAAAUAAAAAUCACCCUAUAUUUUAUA
Long non-coding RNA from Xenopus tropicalis (tropical clawed frog), 238 nucleotides. RefSeq lists it as uncharacterized. Lineage: Eukaryota; Metazoa; Chordata; Amphibia; Anura; Pipidae. The record is from RefSeq and is a predicted model, not a curated record. The transcript has 3 exons.